GGCAAGACGACAUACUAGUACAUGCAGUCGUACGAACUCUGGUAUUGAUUGGUGCUUGCAUCAUGAUUUACAUUUGAGUGAGUGGCGAACUGGUGAGUAACACGUGGGAAACCUGCCCAGAAGCGGGGGAUAACACCUGGAAACAGAUGCUAAUACCGCAUAACAACUUGGACCGCAUGGUCCGAGUUUGAAAGAUGGCUUCGGCUAUCACUUUUGGAUGGUCCCGCGGCGUAUUAGCUAGAUGGUGAGGUAACGGCUCACCAUGGCAAUGAUACGUAGCCGACCUGAGAGGGUAAUCGGCCACAUUGGGACUGAGACACGGCCCAAACUCCUACGGGAGGCAGCAGUAGGGAAUCUUCCACAAUGGACGAAAGUCUGAUGGAGCAACGCCGCGUGAGUGAAGAAGGGUUUCGGCUCGUAAAACUCUGUUGUUAAAGAAGAACAUAUCUGAGAGUAACUGUUCAGGUAUUGACGGUAUUUAACCAGAAAGCCACGGCUAACUACGUGCCAGCAGCCGCGGUAAUACGUAGGUGGCAAGCGUUGUCCGGAUUUAUUGGGCGUAAAGCGAGCGCAGGCGGUUUUUUAAGUCUGAUGUGAAAGCCUUCGGCUCAACCGAAGAAGUGCAUCGGAAACUGGGAAACUUGAGUGCAGAAGAGGACAGUGGAACUCCAUGUGUAGCGGUGAAAUGCGUAGAUAUAUGGAAGAACACCAGUGGCGAAGGCGGCUGUCUGGUCUGUAACUGACGCUGAGGCUCGAAAGUAUGGGUAGCAAACAGGAUUAGAUACCCUGGUAGUCCAUACCGUAAACGAUGAAUGCUAAGUGUUGGAGGGUUUCCGCCCUUCAGUGCUGCAGCUAACGCAUUAAGCAUUCCGCCUGGGGAGUACGGCCGCAAGGCUGAAACUCAAAGGGAAUUGACGGGGGCCCGCACAAGCGGUGGAGCAUGUGGUUUUAAUUUCGAAGCUACGCGAAAGAACCUUACCAGGUCUUUGACAUACUAUGCAAAUCUAGAG
Molecule: ribosomal RNA, 1010 nt
Filed under: Lactiplantibacillus xiangfangensis
Lineage: Bacteria; Bacillati; Bacillota; Bacilli; Lactobacillales; Lactobacillaceae
Description: bacterial SSU rRNA
Rfam family: Bacterial small subunit ribosomal RNA
Source: RNAcentral